UACGGGGGGAGCAAGCGUUGUUCGGAUUUACUGGGCGUAAAGGGCGCGUAGGCGGCGCGACAAGUCACUUGUGAAAUCUCCGGGCUUAACCCGGAGCGGCCAAGUGAUACUGUAGUGCUAGAGUGCGGAAGGGGCUACUGGAAUUCUCGGUGUAGCGGUGAAAUGCGUAGAUAUCGAGAGGAACACCUGCGGCGAAGGCGGGUAGCUGGGCCGACACUGACGCUGAGGCGCGAAAGCGUGGGGAGCAAACGGG
Molecule: ribosomal RNA, 253 nt
Filed under: uncultured bacterium
Lineage: Bacteria
Description: partial 16S ribosomal RNA
Rfam family: Bacterial small subunit ribosomal RNA
Source: RNAcentral